This 90-nucleotide transfer RNA is filed under the name Holosporaceae bacterium. Its description in RNAcentral is "tRNA-Ser". It matches the Rfam family "tRNA". Rfam says of the family: Transfer RNA (tRNA) molecules are approximately 80 nucleotides in length. Their secondary structure includes four short double-helical elements and three loops (D, anti-codon, and T loops). Further hydrogen bonds mediate the characteristic L-shaped molecular structure. tRNAs have two regions of fundamental functional importance: the anti-codon, which is responsible for specific mRNA codon recognition, and the 3' end, to which the tRNAs corresponding amino acid is attached (by aminoacyl-tRNA synthetases). tRNAs cope with the degeneracy of the genetic code in two manners: having more than one tRNA (with a specific anti-codon) for a particular amino acid; and 'wobble' base-pairing, i.e. permitting non-standard base-pairing at the 3rd anti-codon position. Lineage: Bacteria; Pseudomonadati; Pseudomonadota; Alphaproteobacteria; Holosporales; Holosporaceae. The record is from RNAcentral.
GGACAGAUGACCGAGCGGUUUAAGGUACCGGUCUUGAAAACCGGCAAAGGAGGAAUCCUUUCGUGAGUUCGAAUCUCACUCUGUCCGCCA